This 253-nucleotide ribosomal RNA is filed under the name uncultured bacterium. Its description in RNAcentral is "partial 16S ribosomal RNA". It matches the Rfam family "Bacterial small subunit ribosomal RNA", at positions 524 to 776 of the family's 1533-position model. The record is from RNAcentral.
UACGUAGGGUGCAAGCGUUGUCCGGAAUUAUUGGGCGUAAAGAGCUCGUAGGCGGUUUGUCGCGUCUGCUGUGAAAACGCGAGGCUCAACCUCGCGCCUGCAGUGGGUACGGGCAGACUAGAGUGCGGUAGGGGAGAUUGGAAUUCCUGGUGUAGCGGUGGAAUGCGCAGAUAUCAGGAGGAACACCCGUAGCGAAGGCGGCACUCUGGGCCGAUACUGACACUGAGGAGCGAAAGCGUGGGGAGCGAACAGG